This 60-nucleotide ribosomal RNA is filed under the name Acinetobacter baumannii. RNAcentral describes it as "partial 16S ribosomal RNA". Lineage: Bacteria; Pseudomonadati; Pseudomonadota; Gammaproteobacteria; Moraxellales; Moraxellaceae. The record is from RNAcentral.
UUUAACUGAAGAGUUUGAUCAUGGCUCAGAUUGAACGCUGGCGGCAGGCUUAACACAUGC